AUCUAUGGCCAUGCCACUCUGAGCACGCCUGAUCCCGGCUGAUCUCAGAAGCUAAGCAGGGUGGGGCCUGGUUAGUACUUGGAUGAGAGACCACCUAGGAAGACCAGGUAAAAAAUA
This 117-nucleotide ribosomal RNA is filed under the name Pteropus alecto (black flying fox). The record is from RNAcentral. Lineage: Eukaryota; Metazoa; Chordata; Mammalia; Chiroptera; Pteropodidae.